This 72-nucleotide transfer RNA is filed under the name Candidatus Tidjanibacter faecipullorum. RNAcentral's name for it is "tRNA-Arg". It matches the Rfam family "tRNA". Rfam says of the family: Transfer RNA (tRNA) molecules are approximately 80 nucleotides in length. Their secondary structure includes four short double-helical elements and three loops (D, anti-codon, and T loops). The record is from RNAcentral. Lineage: Bacteria; Pseudomonadati; Bacteroidota; Bacteroidia; Bacteroidales; Rikenellaceae.
GGUUCCAUAGUUCAACGGAUAGAACGACAGUUUCCUAAACUGUAGAUUCAGGUUCGAUUCCUGGUGGAACUA